UUCUGCAGAAUAUUCAGUUCUCUAUCCUCUCAAGUACAUUUCGCGUUUAUUCAAAAUCAAUUUUUCUCAUUAAACAUCUUUCAGUUUAAAAAUUUAUAAAUCUCGAGCGUAUAUUGUAGAGAAAUGUUUUCGUGGAUUUUUCUUGUGACCUUUAUUCUCUCGACGGCUGCAAAUGUCAUCCAGGAUGUCACCAUAGGAUCCGCUCAGGUCGCAGAAAAGCUGAAGGGUGGCUGUCCUGAAAGCUUGAAUUUAACAACGCUGAACAACGGGAAGAAAUACUACUUUUCAACAGGAUCAAAAAAUUAGUUCGACUCUAAACAAUUCUGCGAGGCAAAGGAAAUGCACUUGGCAUCGCCGAAAACGAUGGAAGAACUGGCCGAGCUUCACAACAAAGCAAACACCGUCAAAGCAGGCAAGUAUAGCAAUUAAAUUUCACCAAUUUAAAUAUGCGAAUAUUUUUGCAGUGAUGUACUGGUGGGUGUCGCUGACGAACAGGGGCCACGCCAGAAAUGACUUCAGGUGGCACGACGGCGAGCGCGUCGCCCUCAACAGCACCCUGUGGAACAAUUCAGCGCAGCAGCCGGACCAGUAUCUCGAAGGAUCGUGCGCCUACAUCCACACCGCAGCCGCAGCCGCCGGAUUGUGGGACUUCUAUUGCCUCGACCCGGAAAAUUCUUUCAUCUGCGAGUGCAAUCACGUUUAAUCUCAAAAGAAUUAUUAAAAAAUUAUUUAUUCUUCAAUGAGAUUUAAUUUUAGCCACAAGAUUCUUAUAAAAAAAUAAUAAAACAUUAAUAUAUUAUAACGAGCGCUCUUGCAUUUGAAGUUCGGUAGACUGUUAAAAGUUGAAAAAAGGGGUCGCGGCGUCGGAAAAAUGGCAAAAAGUGGCCCUGGGACAAACCUCAGGGUAGCGUACCCUGAAAAAGGUCAUCAGGUGGUAGAGCUUGGUAAUACGAUUCGUUUGAGACUCCGUGAGUUCAAAUCCGUCAACCCGUCGAAUUUUAACAAAAAUAAAACCAUUAUCGCGAGUGCAAUGCCGAAAAAAAAAACGAAAAAAUCAAAAUUAAUUUUAUUAUGGCCGCGAGAAAGCUCGGAAUUGGUCUAAAAAUUUUCCCCGAUAUAUUCCGCAUCGAUUUGUAUUUCAGCGUGUCUAAGUUUUGUCCCGGACUGAAGAUAAAAUGGGUCGAAAAACACCCAAAAAACCUAGUUUUUUGGACUUAAAAGAAAGUCAGGUCUUUAAAAUCCCAAUUUUUUUUAAUUCGAUACCUAACCAUGGUAGAUAAGAUAGGCAUCAUAUCUUCGAAAAAUCGCGUUCAAGAGAAAUGAUUUUUGCAAACAUUUUCAACGAUUUUAGUUUUACCAAAAUUCGGACUUUUGAAAAAUUGCAGUAAUUUGCAAAAUGCUUCGAUUUUCAAAAACUAAACACGGGGCGACGUGCCUCCCCGAGGGGCUUCGACUGGAGCCGGAAUCAUCGGCCUCCAGCGCAUAGGGCCCCUCCCAGGCCCUGAAAACCACAAUUUUGUAAAGUCACAUAACACGUUUUUGAGCCGUUAAAAUUCAACAACUCGGUUCCUAUGGGUCGUAGAGAGGAAAUCCAAUAUUUUUUAGACUCGUGGUGAAAUUUCGCGUAGAAUAGACUCCAAAAAUGCCCCCCAUCCUCCCCCUCAGGCUCAAAAGUCCCCAAAAUCCGCGCAAAAAGCCGUUUUUUCUGAUUUUUACAAUUUACCUGUAGGCUGGAGGGCGAUUUAAGAAAGGUCACGUAAAUCAUAUCUAUGAUAUUUGGCUAGUAAUUCAGUAAACGUCCUGAGCAUGCGGAGAAUUCCCAUUUUCUGAAUACCUGUGUUGCUUCGAAACGCGCAUUUUUUUUGGCAGGCCUGAAAGUCGGUCGACGCAACGAAUUUUCAUCUCCCAGCCGCUACUGCAGGUAUUUAUUUUAAUUAUUUUCCCUUUUAGUCUUCAUUUGCUCUGAAUCUGCGUAGAAUUUAAUCGGUUGAGAAUGGAGGAGAGUGAGCCGCAUCGGUGUCCGUUGUGCGGAAAGCGGCUUUUCGCGCCGCUGCUGCUGGCGCACCACCUACGAAACGUGCACGACGUGGCCGACGCCAAAAUCGCCAGUUGCCGCCGAUGCCGAGUCUUCUUCCGCAACCU
Molecule: long non-coding RNA, 2142 nt
Organism: Cloeon dipterum
Lineage: Eukaryota; Metazoa; Arthropoda; Insecta; Ephemeroptera; Baetidae
Exons: 3
Source: RefSeq, a predicted model, not a curated record